RNAcentral lists this ribosomal RNA (216 nucleotides) under uncultured bacterium. RNAcentral's name for it is "partial 16S ribosomal RNA". It matches the Rfam family "Bacterial small subunit ribosomal RNA", at positions 118 to 351 of the family's 1533-position model. The record is from RNAcentral.
UGGGGACGUACCUUUUGGUUCGGAACAACCCAGGGAAACUUGGGCUAAUACCGGAUAAGUCCGUAAGGAGAAAGAUUUAUCGCCAAAAGAUCGGCCCGCGUCUGAUUAGCUAGUUGGUGAGGUAACGGCUCACCAAGGCGACGAUCAGUAGCUGGUCUGAGAGGAUGAUCAGCCACACUGGAACUGAGACACGGUCCAGACUCCUACGGGAGGCAG